CGCAUCUGUGCAUGUAGCAUAUCAAUAAGCGGAGGAAAAGAAACUAACAAGGAUUCCCCUAGUAACGGCGAGUGAAGCGGGAAGAGCUCAAAUUUGAAAUCUUAAAGGGUUUCCCUUUACGAAUUGUAGUUUAAAGAAGUGUUUUCUGUUGAGGUUUUGGUAAAAGUUCUUUGGAAUAGGACAUCAUAGAGGGUGAGAAUCCCGUAUUUGACCUUUACUUUCAACUUUGUGAUACACUUUCAAAGAGUCGGAUUGUUUGGGAAUGCAGUCCAAAAUGGGUGGUAAAUUUCAUCUAAAGCUAAAUAUUGGCGAGAGACCGAUAGCGAACAAGUACCGUGAGGGAAAGAUGAAAAGAACUUUGAAAAGAGAGUUAAACAGUACGUGAAAUUGUCAAAAGGGAAGCGUUUGACACCAGUGUUGUUUUUCUGAAAUCAAUUAAAGAACUGUUUAUGCUAAGUUGUUUAGACUUUAUCAGCUAACUGUUUAGUUUUGAGCUUUUCUUUAAUGCACUUUUCAGUUAACAAGUCAACAUCAAUUUCUUUUGCUGUAAAAAAGCUUGAGGAAGGUGGCUUGAGAUUCGUCUUAAGUGUUUAUAGCCUCUUGCCUAUGCAGUCGGAGAGAUUGAGGUCUGCAGCGUAGAUCCUUCGGGGCUAAAUGCAUUUGUGCUAAGUUAUAGCAUUUUAUAGACAACUUGUUGACUAUGAUUUGUCUUGUAGCUUACUCGCUUAUGUUAUUUUACCUACGCUUAGGAUGUUGAAGAUGUAGCACAUCAU
RNAcentral lists this ribosomal RNA (773 nucleotides) under uncultured Neocallimastigales. RNAcentral's name for it is "partial large subunit ribosomal RNA". It matches the Rfam family "Eukaryotic large subunit ribosomal RNA", at positions 22 to 635 of the family's 3401-position model. Lineage: Eukaryota; Fungi; Neocallimastigomycota; Neocallimastigomycetes; Neocallimastigales. The record is from RNAcentral.